UNUGACUUGAGUGCAGAAGGGGAGAGUGGAAUUCCAUGUGUAGCGGUGAAAUGCGUUGAUAUAUGGAGGAACACCAGUGGCGAAAGCGGCUCUCUGGUCUGUCACUGACGCUGAGGCUCGAAAGCGUGGGUAGCGAACAGGAUUAGAUACCCUGGUAGUCCACGCCGUAAACGAUGAGUGCUAGGUGUUAGGCCCUUUCCGGGGCUUAGUGCCGGAGCUAACGCAAUAAGCACUCCGCCUGGGGAGUACGACCGCAAGGUUGAAACUCAAAGGAAUUGACGGGGGCCCGCACAAGCGGUGGAGCAUGUGGUUUAAUUCGAAGCAACGCGAAGAACCUUACCAGGUCUUGACAUCCCGAUGCUAUUCUUAGAGAUAGGAAGUUACUUCGGUACAUCGGAGACAGGUGGUGCAUGGUUGUCGUCAGCUCGUGUCGUGAGAUGUUGGGUUAAGUCCCGCAACGAGCGCAACCCUUAUUGUUAGUUGCCAUCAUUAAGUUGGGCACUCUAGCGAGACUGCCGGUAAUAAACCGGAGGAAGGUGGGGAUGACGUCAAAUCAUCAUGCCCCUUAUGACCUGGGCUACACACGUGCUACAAUGGUCGGUACAACGAGUUGCGAGCCGGUGACGGCAAGCUAAUCUCUGAAAGCCGAUCUCAGUUCGGAUUGGAGGCUGCAACUCGCCUCCAUGAAGUCGGAAUCGCUAGUAAUCGCGGAUCAGCACGCCGCGGUGAAUACGUUCCCGGGCCUUGUACACACCGCCCGUCACACCACGAGAGUUUGUAACACCCGAAGUCGGUGAGGUANCCUUUUAG
Molecule: ribosomal RNA, 810 nt
Filed under: uncultured bacterium
Lineage: Bacteria
Description: bacterial SSU rRNA
Rfam family: Bacterial small subunit ribosomal RNA
Source: RNAcentral